Long non-coding RNA from Octopus bimaculoides (California two-spot octopus), 3411 nucleotides. The record is from RefSeq and is a predicted model, not a curated record. NCBI's taxonomy places the organism in Eukaryota, Metazoa, Mollusca, Cephalopoda, Octopoda, Octopodidae.
UUGAGAAAAUGACAUGUUAUAAAGUUGGUACAGGUAUAAGAAAGGAAAAGCUCAACUAAGAAAAGAAGAUUAUUAUUAAGUGAUGAUUAUAUGAGAUAAUUGUUGAAUUGUUAGAUUAUGAAGGAUGUCUCAAUAAACAGUAGGUUGAGGAUUGUUCGUCUAUUUUGUUGUAAAUCUAAAUAUUGAUCCAUUGCAUAGUAACACUGUAGAAAGUAUAAACAUGUUGAACAAACCCUAAGUGGUCACCACUUGACCAUUGGUGAUUGGAUAAUCUGGCAAUAACAAACACUAAGCUGACAUGGAGGAUUGGAAGCGAACUGCAGAUUGGAAAAGAGUUUCCUGUAUUUGGACACAGUUGCUACUGCAAGGCCUUAUGCGUGGCAGCAGGAUUCGGCUCAUUACCAUACCCCUAGAAAGAGUGAGAAGUGGUUGUCGGAGUAUUUAUGGGGUUUCAGUGGACCCAUUUGUAAACUUCCUAGUUUCCCUGGUUGAAAUCACAUGGAUUAUUUUGUAUGGGGCACAGUUGAGAAAGACACCAUUCGCUCUGAUUGCAACCCUAAACUUGAGCUGGUACCCAAAACUAAAGAAGUUUUCAAAGGUUUUAUCAGCUGUCAUAAAGAGAAACACAGGCUUCAGGUUUCAGGGUCGUCUUCAGAGAGCAGUGGAAGCUGAGAGGAAUUACUUGUCUCUCCCAGCCAUAUCUAGUCGAAAUGUUUUGAAUUUUUCGAAUACUUUUAUUUUUAGAUUAGAUAUUCUGCUUUGUUUUCCUUUUAUGCAAACUGUCAAACUUAAACCGAACACUUUAAACAAGAAAGUUAAGACUAAACGAACGCAAAAAGGACAGUUUUCAAGUGAUAACUAAUUGAGAAAAUUAUGUUGUGAGAACAUUUAAGCUGUCUGGAAAGAGAAACUAGGUUUAGGAGGGUAAGUCUAUUUUUGUGGUGGACCUCAAUUUGGCGCAGUUAAUGGGAUCGCAAUAGAAAGUAUAAAUAUGUUGGCCAACAGAAUAGUGAUCACCAUUUGACUAUUGAUCAUAGGAAUAUCUCACAACAAUAAAAUAGAGAUUAUUAAUGAUAACGAAACUUUAAUGCCUGAAACUUGAAUAUAUUUUUUUCAGAGACUCCAACGCCUGGGAAGAAGUUCUCAAAGGUAUCACAGUCAACACCCUCUACAUCACAGCCGGUUGAGACUCCAACGCCUGGGAAGAAGUUCUCAAAGGUAUCACAGUCAACACCCUCUACAUCACAGCCGGUUGAGACUCCAACGCGUGAGAAUAUGUUCUGGAAGGUUUUAGAUUUUCUCAGAAGUUUUACAUCACGGCCAGUUGAAAAUCGAACAUUUCAAGACAAGGAAACGCAGACACUGGCAGAGCCAAUUGGUUUUCAAAAACUGGAUGAGAGGUUUCUCCUGAAGGUGGCACGGCAGUUAGGAAGCAAUUGGUGGCAAGUGGGUGAGUAGAAAAUAACAAUACCUAAUUGAUGUCUGUAAAUUUUAAUUUCAUUUGAGCCUUGUAUGUCAGAAUGACUGAGAACAGGUUCCAUUCCUAAUUUCCAUUUGAAAUGUUAACUGUGAAAUAAUUCUAUUAAAAAUAUUAAUCUAAUACAAUAAAAUUGAGGUUAGCAAGGUUGGUAAAAUGGAUAAAUUAAUAAAACACAGUUGAAAAGAUAUUGUCUUUUGGAAGAAGGGACUAAAAUAUACUGUUGUUUAAGGCUAAAUAGAUGAUUGAAUGGCAAUGUUUUUGCGUGUUUUACAUUUUUACAGAGUUUAUUCCUUGGUAUUUUUAAUGAAGCAAAAGUAACACUCGGAAUAAGUCUUGUUUAUUCCAUCGUAAGACCUUGAGUUAGCUUCUUCUUAGGAUCAUUGUGUAAGAAGCAGAUAAUUUCAGCUCAUAUCACCAAAUUAGAAUGACGUCUUAAUCACAUGACAUAUGUCUGUAGAUGCUUCCGUGGAAGACUAAAUAGAUGACACUGAUGAAUCAUAUCCUAUUCUCUCCAGCCAAGAAGACAGAAUUAUUCUGAGAGAAUUUACCAGAAAAUGAAUAUUCACAAGUCAAGCCGAACUGGAGGUGACCUCUCUCAAUGAAACUGAUAUAAUAAUAACAGAAUAGGCUCAGGAGAACUGAUCGAAUCUGGAGUUCAUUAAGAAUUGGUGAGAAGAAUUAUUUGGAGAAGACUCAAUUGGGAUUGAAUUUGACUCAGAAUUCUCGACUCUUGAAAUAUGAAUGAUUAAUCGAUUUGGGAAGUUAGUCUAUUUCACAGGGAAAACAUUGUUUUGAUUUCAUCAAGUGAUUCUGGAAUGUUUUUGCUUUCCACAUAAUCAUAUAUUCAUGUCAUGCCUGGGUAGCAAAGGCAAUUGUUGUAAUUCAGCAAUUUGAUUAGAACUGACAACAGAACAAAACAGAAAACAGACAUGUCAGAAAUGUUCUCAUUUCUAAACAUUUUAUGAUGACAUUUAACAUCAAACAUAAAACUGAAUGAUGUUUUGUAUCAGUAAAAAGGGUGAAUCGUUUUCAACUGAAGCAAUGCCUCUAAUGUUGUAUAGACUCUGUGACUGAGGAGGUUUCUUUCUCAACUGAAGGAUGUUUUAACUCACAAUUCUGCAAGACAUUUGAAAAGAAUCAAUACUUCUUCCUCCCUGAUUUACAGUUGCAACUAUUGCCAAACCAGAAGCAGCUCUUUCAACACAAAUGGGUGAAGUUUCAUCUUAGCCACAACUACUGAGUCUUCAAUAUCUUUCUUCAGUUGGUGAAUCCAGCUCCAGAAAAAUGGAAAUUUACUAGUUUUAAUUUUAAUUGAAACAUUAUGUAUCCACUUUGGAAAAUAUUAAAAGUGAACAUGUUAUGGUCAGUUUGUGUCUUCAGGACAAUGCUUAUGAUGUCACUCUAUGGCUGUAAACCUAUUGCUAUUAAGUUUCAUUGUUGCAGUAAAUCAUAUCAAGAUUUCAUCAAAUUACAAGUCCAUUACCUUCUGGCUGAAGACAUUAUUGAACCAUGUACAUCUCUUUGGUGUUUUGAAGUUGUUUCUACCAUGGAAUACCAUAAAAAUGAAUGGUUGUGGAUUAUUCUCAGAAAGAGAAUCGUUUCACCAAACUUGAUGUGAAUCAACGUCUUUGGAUUUCUGAUGAAAACAAUUCUAGGUUCUUGUGUAGAAAGCUGAUAAUUAAUUCCAGUUGAAAUCACCAUAUUGAAAUGACUUCUUACCACAUGUAGUUGCUUCAAUAUAAAGAAGAAACUUAAUGGAGGACACUCAACAGAACCAUAUCACUUCUUAUCGUUGUUGUUUAAUCAAAUAUCUGUGUUAAUCCAGCAGAAUUAAGUUAAAAGACUUUCCAGGCAAGACGUCUCUAUCUUUUACUUGGGAGCAUAGAACUACAUAAUUAAAUGGUCCUUUUUAAGAUGACAAGAUGUAGUGA